This is a long non-coding RNA of Xenia sp. Carnegie-2017, 733 nucleotides long. RefSeq lists it as uncharacterized. NCBI's taxonomy places the organism in Eukaryota, Metazoa, Cnidaria, Anthozoa, Malacalcyonacea, Xeniidae. The record is from RefSeq and is a predicted model, not a curated record. The transcript is spliced from 2 exons.
UCUACCUACAUCCUACCGCAAUGACGCAUUGCGGUGAGGAAGUGUUCUCUUAACAUGACUAUACUAUUUUACAUCAACAUAAUAUCCGUUAUAUCUUAUAAUCUAUAAUAUGACACAGUCACACACUACACAACAUAACAUUACAAUUUACAACAAAAUCUGCUGUCUACAAAAAUACAAUUCUUAAAACUUUCUUCUAUUUGUAAUCAUCUCUCAGACUUUGGCGAAUAUGUUUCAUGAAGCUUUAGCUGUCAUAUUUGUUGAUGUUUUUAAUCGUCUACGAUUUCCUACGAGUGGAAAUGAAAAUGGACACGAACAAGCUCCGAUACAACCAUACAAAAUGUAUACUGAAUAUAUAAAUAUAUAACUUAUUUUUCUUUAUUUAUUUCAUUAUAUAUAUUGCAUGUACAUGAUGUAAAAAAAGUGUGAAAAAACGUUUUUUUAAGAAUAAUUCACAAUGACUUCAUCAAAACACAUAUAAAAGUAUAUUGUGUUACCAGAUAUGCCUCCCAGUUGUGACGUCAUUGCAUAAAUCUGCAUAUCACAUUAUAUUCAAAACAAAUCAAAAUGGCCGCGGAACUUUUAAAUUGGAGUCAGAAAAACCUUUGUUACAUGAAGACAAAAACUUUGGUUGAACUAACAAAGUUUACUUUAGUAACACAACAGAACAGCGACUGCAGUCAAGGAAAACCUUGUUCAUAUGUUAUGAUAAUAAUGGUGGCAGGAUAAGUAA